Molecule: ribosomal RNA, 479 nt
Filed under: uncultured bacterium
Lineage: Bacteria
Description: partial 16S ribosomal RNA
Rfam family: Bacterial small subunit ribosomal RNA
Source: RNAcentral
AACAAACGCUGGCGGCGUGCCUAAUACAUGCAAGUCGAACGGGGAAAGCUUUCGGGUGAGUACUAGUGGCGCACGGGUGAGUAGCGCGUGGAUAAUCUGCCCUCGAAUGGGGAAUAACUAGUCGAAAGAUUAGCUAAUACCGCAUAAGACCACGACUACUGAGGUAGUUGGGGUCAAAGGAGCAAUUCGUUUGAGGAUGAGUCCGCGUAAGAUUAGCUAGUUGGUGAGGUAAUGGCUCACCAAGGCGAUGAUCUUUAACUGGUCUGAGAGGAUGAUCAGGCAAACUGGAACUGAGACACGGUCCAGACUCCUACGGGAGGCAGCAGUAGGGAAUAUUGGACAAUGGGGGCAACCCUGAUCCAGCGACGCCGCGUGAGCGAUGAAGGCCUUCGGGUCGUAAAGCUCUGUUGUAAGGGAAAAAGUUCUGAUUGUACCUUACGAGAAAGGAUCGGCUAACUUCGUGCCAGCCGCCGCCGUAA